This 200-nucleotide small nuclear RNA is filed under the name Triticum aestivum (bread wheat). RNAcentral's name for it is "snRNA U2". It matches the Rfam family "U2 spliceosomal RNA". From Rfam's summary of the family: U2 is a small nuclear RNA (snRNA) component of the spliceosome (involved in pre-mRNA splicing). The record is from Rfam by way of RNAcentral. Lineage: Eukaryota; Viridiplantae; Streptophyta; Magnoliopsida; Poales; Poaceae.
AUAUUCAGUAGAUGUUGUGUUGACGGGGGCUGCAUGUGUAGUAUCUGUUUUUAUCAGUUUAAUAUUUGAUAUGUGGGCCAUGUGCCCACAACGAUAUUAAAUUUAUUUUUUAUGGGGGAGGGUCCACCACACUAGCUUGCUAGUGGGGCACCCGGUGUCGCCUAGGCGUUGUACUAUUGCCCAGGCCAGGCGCACCCCAA